GAUGAACGCUGGCGGCGUGCCUAACACAUGCAAGUCGAGCGAAGCACUUACUUUAGAUUUCUUCGGAAUGACGAAGUUUGUGACUGAGCGGCGGACGGGUGAGUAACGCGUGGGCAACCUGCCCUGUACAGGGGGAUAACAGUUAGAAAUGACUGCUAAUACCGCAUAAGCCCACAGCUUCGCAUGAAGCAGUGGGAAAAACUCCGGUGGUACAGGAUGGGCCCGCGUCUGAUUAGCUAGUUGGUAAGGUAACGGCUUACCAAGGCGACGAUCAGUAGCCGGCCCGGGAGGGGGACCCGCCACCUUUGGAAUGAGACCCCGCCCCAAACCCUACGGGAAGCAGGCGGGGGGAAUUUUUCCACAUGGGGGAAACCCUGAUGCAGCGACGCCGCGUGAGCGAUGAAGUAUUUCGGUAUGUAAAGCUCUAUCAGCAGGGAAGAAAGUGACGGUACCUGACUAAGAAGCCCCGGCUAACUACGUG
Molecule: ribosomal RNA, 481 nt
Filed under: uncultured bacterium
Lineage: Bacteria
Description: partial 16S ribosomal RNA
Rfam family: Bacterial small subunit ribosomal RNA
Source: RNAcentral